GAUUGUAGUCUGCAACCGACUACAUGAAGCUGGAAUCGCUAGUAAUCGUGGAUCAGAAUGCCGCGGUGAAUACGUUCCCGGGUCUUGUACACACCGCCCGUCACACCAUGGGAGCCGGUAACGCCCGAAGUCAGCGACCCAACCGAGAGGAGGGAGCUGCCGAAGGCGGGACAGGUAACUGGGGUGAAGUCGUAACAAGGUAGC
Molecule: ribosomal RNA, 204 nt
Filed under: uncultured bacterium
Lineage: Bacteria
Description: partial 16S ribosomal RNA
Rfam family: Bacterial small subunit ribosomal RNA
Source: RNAcentral